This 508-nucleotide ribosomal RNA is filed under the name uncultured bacterium. Its description in RNAcentral is "bacterial SSU rRNA". It matches the Rfam family "Bacterial small subunit ribosomal RNA", at positions 30 to 517 of the family's 1533-position model. The record is from RNAcentral.
AGCGAACGUUAGCGGCGGGCUUAACACAUGCAAGUCGAGCGAGAAAGGGACUUCGGUCCUGAGUAAAGCGGCGGACGGGUGAAUAUCGCGUAGGUAACCUGCCUUUCAGUGGGGGACAACGGUCCGAAAGGACCGCUAAUACCGCGUACGUAUCCCGGGGCUCCGGCCUUGGGGUGGAAAGCUAGGUCGCAAGAUCUGGCGCUGAAAGAGGGGCCUGCGUCGCAUCAGCUAGUUGGUGGGGUAACGGCCUACCAAGGCGAAGACGCGUAGCUGGUCUGAGAGGAUGAUCAGCCACACUGGGACUGAGACACGGCCCAGACUCCUACGGGAGGCAGCAGUGGGGAAUAUUGGACAAUGGGCGCAAGCCUGAUCCAGCCACGCCGCGUGAGUGAUGAAGGCCUUCGGUCGUAAGACUCUGUGGGAGGGACGGAACCGCCGAACUCGUGCAUAGCGGGUGGCGAUGACGGUACCUCCUUAGCAAGCACCGGCAACUUCGUGCCAGCAGCCG